Molecule: long non-coding RNA, 366 nt
Organism: Silurus meridionalis
Lineage: Eukaryota; Metazoa; Chordata; Actinopteri; Siluriformes; Siluridae
Exons: 2
Source: RefSeq, a predicted model, not a curated record
UCUGCACAUUGCUACCGUAGAUCACCUGGACUUCCAACCACUUCUGUUUCCCUGUGCGUCCAUGGUCCUGGCUUCGCUUCACGUUAAGAACUCAGGAUAAGUUUGUUUUGGAACCCAGGAGAAUCUAUUUCUAUAUUUAUAUAUUUGCUUCAUCAUGCAUCACAAUAAUAUAAAAUGGGCCACAAUUCUCAUGUCAAGAGAUAACGUGUUUGCAAAGUUACAAAUGUCAGCCAUAAGGAUGCAUAGGUUACUGUAAUCCCAUUCAUAUGAAAUUUAAUUAAAUCAUUUGAAAUGAACUGUUAAAUUCAAAGAAAUCUGAAAACUAGCUCUAUCCAGGUUCAUCUAUUAAACCUAUCAUGCACGUCA